RNAcentral lists this ribosomal RNA (213 nucleotides) under Myrmicocrypta sp. 07.FGSGt. Its description in RNAcentral is "partial large subunit ribosomal RNA". The record is from RNAcentral. RNAcentral also lists the same sequence under 1 other name. Lineage: Eukaryota; Metazoa; Arthropoda; Insecta; Hymenoptera; Formicidae.
GAAUUUUAUAUAUUAUAAAUUAAGCUUAGAGUUUAGUAUUAUUAAUUUAAAGUAUAUUUAGUUGGGGGGAUUAUUAAAUUGAAUAAACUUAAAUUAGGGUGUAAUCAUAAAUGAGUGAAAUAAUAGAAUAAUAAAGAAAUUAAAUAAGAAUUAAUUACCUUAGGGAUAACAGCGUAAUAUUAUUGGAGAGAUCUUAUUGAUAAUAAUGAUUGC